AGCCCUAAGUGGGUGGUAAACUCCAUCUAAGGCUAAAUAUGACCACGAGACCGAUAGCGAACAAGUACCGUGAGGGAAAGUUGAAAAGCACUUUGAAGAGAGAGUUCAAGAGUACGUGAAACCGUUUAGGGGUAAACCUGAGAAACCCGAAAGGUCGAAGGGAGAAAUUCAUUCGCGUUUCGCCGUCGGCGUGAGACGGGGUUGUGUGACGGAGAACGUUCGCGCGUUUUCCGCACCUUUCGUUUUUCGAACUGAUGGCGAACGCGUGCACUUUUCUCCUGGUAGGACGUCGCGAUCCGUUGGGUGUCGGUCUACGGCUCGUGGUGGAGCCCGACAGUACGGCUUGCCGUUACGGUCGGACCCACGUGUCCCGGCUGACUCGCUCGACGGUAUACGAAAGGUUUAAGGCCGCUCUAGGAGCGUUCGACUCGUGGCAAGCGCGUCAGAUGUGUGUCGGCGACCGGACCUAGUGCCGGUUCUGACCUCUGAUGACUGUUGGCCGCGAAGUUCUCGAACAGACCUCUAACCGAUCUGCGACGCUAUAGCUUUGGGUACUUUCAG
This 561-nucleotide ribosomal RNA is filed under the name Phrynixini sp. RNAcentral describes it as "partial 28S ribosomal RNA". It matches the Rfam family "Eukaryotic large subunit ribosomal RNA", at positions 284 to 645 of the family's 3401-position model. Lineage: Eukaryota; Metazoa; Arthropoda; Insecta; Coleoptera; Curculionidae. The record is from RNAcentral.